AUUGAACGCUGGCGGCAUGCCUUACACAUGCAAGUCGAACGGCAGCACGGGUGCUUGCACCUGGUGGCGAGUGGCGAACGGGUGAGUAAUACAUCGGAACAUGUCCUGUAGUGGGGGAUAGCCCGGCGAAAGCCGGAUUAAUACCGCAUACGAUCUACGGAUGAAAGCGGGGGACCUUCGGGCCUCGCGCUAUAGGGUUGGCCGAUGGCUGAUUAGCUAGUUGGUGGGGUAAAGGCCUACCAAGGCGACGAUCAGUAGCUGGUCUGAGAGGACGACCAGCCACACUGGGACUGAGACACGGCCCAGACUCCUACGGGAGGCAGCAGUGGGGAAUUUUGGACAAUGGGCGAAAGCCUGAUCCAGCAAUGCCGCGUGUGUGAAGAAGGCCUUCGGGUUGUAAAGCACUUUUGUCCGGAAAGAAAUCCUUGGCCCUAAUACGGUCGGGGGAUGACGGUACCGGAAGAAUAAGCACCGGCGAACUACG
This 484-nucleotide ribosomal RNA is filed under the name uncultured bacterium. RNAcentral describes it as "partial 16S ribosomal RNA". It matches the Rfam family "Bacterial small subunit ribosomal RNA", at positions 30 to 505 of the family's 1533-position model. The record is from RNAcentral.